This 92-nucleotide transfer RNA is filed under the name Felis catus (domestic cat). It matches the Rfam family "tRNA". From Rfam's summary of the family: Transfer RNA (tRNA) molecules are approximately 80 nucleotides in length. Their secondary structure includes four short double-helical elements and three loops (D, anti-codon, and T loops). The record is from Rfam by way of RNAcentral. Lineage: Eukaryota; Metazoa; Chordata; Mammalia; Carnivora; Felidae.
GCCUGGGUGGCUCAGUCGGUUGAGCAUCCAACUGUUGAUCUUGGCUCAGGUCACGAUCUCACAGCUUGUGGGUUUGAGCCCCACAUCAGGCU